UAGUCAGGUUAUGCCUUUGUUUUAGA
This 26-nucleotide non-coding RNA is filed under the name Mus musculus (house mouse). The record is from RNAcentral. Lineage: Eukaryota; Metazoa; Chordata; Mammalia; Rodentia; Muridae.